GCAUAUCAAUAAGCGGAGGAAAAGAAACCAACAGGGGAUUGCCUCAGUAACGGCGAGUGAAGCGGCAACAGCUCAAAUUUGAAAUCUGGGGGCCUUCGGCCUCCGAGUUGUAAUUUGAAGAGGAUGUUUCGGCGGCAGCUUUGGCCCAAGUUCCUUGGAACAGGACGUCAUGGAGGGUGAGAAUCCCGUGUCUGGCUGAUAGCUUGCUGCCAUGUGAAACUCCUUCGAAGAGUCGAGUUGUUUGGGAAUGCAGCUCAAAAUGGGUGGUAAAUUUCAUCUAAAGCUAAAUAUUGGCGGGAGACCGAUAGCGCACAAGUAGAGUGAUCGAAAGAUGAAAAGCACUUUGAAAAGAGAGUUAAACAGUACGUGAAAUUGUUGAAAGGGAAGCGCUUGCAAUCAGACUCACUUGCGGUUGAUCAACAAUCCUUUUGGUUUGUGCACUCUGCCGUUUGUGGGCCAGCAUCAGCUGGGGCGGUGGGACAAAGGCAGCGGGAAUGUGGCUCCCCUCGGGGAGUGUUAUAGCCCGUUGCGUAAUGCCACCAGCCCCGGCUGAGGUCCGCGGUUCGCCUAGGAUGCUGGCUUAAUGGUUGUAAGCGACCCGUCUUGAAACACGGACCAAGGAGUCUAACAUCUAUGCGAGUCUUUGGGUGUCAAACCCAUAGGCGUAAUGAAAGUGAACGGAGGUGGGAGUCUUCGGAUGCACCAUCGACCGAUCCUGAUGUUCUCGGAUGGAUUUGAGUAGGAGCAUAGCUGUUGGGACCCGAAAGAUGGUGAACUAUGCCUGAAUAGGGUGAAGCCAGAGGAAACUCUGGUGGAGGCUCGCAGCGGUUCUGACGUGCAAAUCGAUCGUCAAAUUUGGGUAUAGGGGCGAAAGACUAAUCGAACCAUCUAGUAGCUGGUUUCCUGCCGAAG
RNAcentral lists this ribosomal RNA (912 nucleotides) under Monacrosporium doedycoides. RNAcentral describes it as "partial large subunit ribosomal RNA". It matches the Rfam family "Eukaryotic large subunit ribosomal RNA", at positions 38 to 966 of the family's 3401-position model. Lineage: Eukaryota; Fungi; Ascomycota; Orbiliomycetes; Orbiliales; Orbiliaceae. The record is from RNAcentral.